This 439-nucleotide ribosomal RNA is filed under the name uncultured bacterium. Its description in RNAcentral is "partial 16S ribosomal RNA". It matches the Rfam family "Bacterial small subunit ribosomal RNA", at positions 339 to 795 of the family's 1533-position model. The record is from RNAcentral.
CUACGGGGGGCUCCAGUGGGGAAUAUUGCACAAUGGAGGAAACUCUGAUGCAGCAACGCCGCGUGGAGGAUGACACUUUUCGGAGCGUAAACUCCUUUUAUAUAGGAAGAAGAUGACGGUACUAUAUGAAUAAGCGCCGGCUAACUCCGUGCCAGCAGCCGCGGUAAUACGGCGGGCGCAAGUGUUACUCGGAAUCACUGGGCGUAAAGGGCGUGUAGGCGGAUUAAAAAGUCAGAAGUGAAAUCCUAUAGCUUAACUAUAGAACUGCUUCUGAAACUCUUAAUCUAGAAUAUGGGAGAGGUAGAUGGAAUUUCUGGUGUAGGGGUAAUAUCCGUAGAGAUCAGAAGGAAUACCGAUUGCGAAGGCGAUCUACUAGAACAUUAUUGACGCUGAGACGCGAAAGCGUGGGGAGCAAACAGGAUUAGAUACCCGGGUAGUC